GGCCCUGUAGCUUAAAGGGACAAAGUCUGCGGAAAAAUAACUAGCCGCAGUGUGUAUGGAUCAUAUCGUUGUUGGUUUUCCCGGCAAUGAUCAGAAUUUACAGUGCACCGAAAUCUGGAAGAUGAAAUUAGGGAAGCGUAUUUACAGCCAUACUGCCUGGAAACAGGAAUGCGGGUUCGAAUCCCGUCAGGGCCA
RNAcentral lists this transfer RNA (195 nucleotides) under Chitinophaga sp. CF118. RNAcentral's name for it is "tRNA_Pro_GGG". It matches the Rfam family "tRNA". From Rfam's summary of the family: Transfer RNA (tRNA) molecules are approximately 80 nucleotides in length. Their secondary structure includes four short double-helical elements and three loops (D, anti-codon, and T loops). Further hydrogen bonds mediate the characteristic L-shaped molecular structure. tRNAs have two regions of fundamental functional importance: the anti-codon, which is responsible for specific mRNA codon recognition, and the 3' end, to which the tRNAs corresponding amino acid is attached (by aminoacyl-tRNA synthetases). tRNAs cope with the degeneracy of the genetic code in two manners: having more than one tRNA (with a specific anti-codon) for a particular amino acid; and 'wobble' base-pairing, i.e. permitting non-standard base-pairing at the 3rd anti-codon position. The record is from RNAcentral. Lineage: Bacteria; Pseudomonadati; Bacteroidota; Chitinophagia; Chitinophagales; Chitinophagaceae.